GUAAAAUGGCUGAGUAAAGCAAUAGACUGUAAAUCUAAGAACAGAGGUUUGAUUCCUCUUUUUUCCCC
This 68-nucleotide transfer RNA is filed under the name Naemorhedus goral. RNAcentral's name for it is "tRNA-Tyr". It matches the Rfam family "tRNA". From Rfam's summary of the family: Transfer RNA (tRNA) molecules are approximately 80 nucleotides in length. Their secondary structure includes four short double-helical elements and three loops (D, anti-codon, and T loops). The record is from RNAcentral. Lineage: Eukaryota; Metazoa; Chordata; Mammalia; Artiodactyla; Bovidae.